RNAcentral lists this long non-coding RNA (757 nucleotides) under Canis lupus familiaris (dog). RNAcentral describes it as "lncRNA (ENSCAFG00845019344.1)". Lineage: Eukaryota; Metazoa; Chordata; Mammalia; Carnivora; Canidae. The record is from RNAcentral.
UGAGUGUCAUAGAGGGUGCCCAGGAGCUCUGCCUUACAGAGCUUCUUCCUGGGGCAGUGGACUCCCAUAGGGGUUGGAGCCCUUCCACCCCAGGGACAGCUCAGACUAACCCCAUAGGAGACCUAAAUUUCCACUCACCUCCCCACUUCCCAGCCCUGUGUUCCUGUGAAUCCGUGUGUAGCUGAUCUUGGGCAGAGAUUCUGGAAAAGGAAGAUAAUGUUGGGCUCUACUCCACCCUUCCCAAGCUGGGCCAGAACUGCUGAGGUGACUGCUUUGAGGAGAGUCAGGAAUUUAGGAGCAACUCUGCUGGACAGAUCUGUCUUGAGAACACCCAUGGGGCCGCAGUCAUCUUCUCUUCCCCACCCUCACCCCCCGACCUGUCCACAGGGCUGCUUGAUGAUCCUCACAGCAGUGUCUCACUUCCCCCAGGGUGAGGGGGUCCAAGAGACCAAGACGGAGGAAGCGGCAGUGCCUCUUCUAACUAGCCUUGGAAGUCACACCCAGUCACUUUGCCACAUUCUAUGGAUCACACAGGCCACUCCUGAUUCAGUGUGGGAGGAUGCUACACAGUGGCGUACAGGCAGGAGGUGAAGAUCCUUGUCUACAUGGCCCAUGGUGGCUCAUCAACCACUUCUGCUUUCCAGUCAGUGGGAAGGAGAGGGUGCCCCUUCCUGGUGAUGGAGUGACCUGGAGGUAGCACUGUGCCCUCUAGGGAUGUGUAUGCUGGCUUUCUGUGGGAUGUUACUUGCCAAAAUGU